RNAcentral lists this ribosomal RNA (650 nucleotides) under Chryseobacterium sp. 845G11. Its description in RNAcentral is "bacterial SSU rRNA". It matches the Rfam family "Bacterial small subunit ribosomal RNA", at positions 788 to 1433 of the family's 1533-position model. Lineage: Bacteria; Pseudomonadati; Bacteroidota; Flavobacteriia; Flavobacteriales; Weeksellaceae. The record is from RNAcentral.
UGGUAGUCCACGCCGUAAACGAUGCUAACUCGUUUUUUGGGCUUUCGGGUUCAAGAGACUAAGCGAAAAGUGAUAAGUUUAGCCACCUGGGGAGUACGAACCGCAAGUUUGAAACUCAAAAGGAAUUGACGGGGGCCCGCACAAGCGGUGGAUUAUGUGGUUUAAUUCGAUGAUACGCGAGGAACCUUACCAAAGACUUAAAUGGGAAUUGAUCGGUUUAGAAAUAGGCCUUCCUUCGGGCAAUUUUCAAGGUGCUGCAUGGUUGUCGUCAGCUCGUGCCGUGAGGUGUUAGGUUAAGUCCUGCAACGAGCGCAACCCCUGUCACUAGUUGCCAUCAUUAAGUUGGGGACUCUAGUGAGACUGCCUACGCAAGUAGAGAGGAAGGUGGGGAUGACGUCAAAUCAUCACGGCCCUUACGUCUUGGGCCACACACGUAAUACAAUGGCCGGUACAGAGGGCAGCUACACAGCGAUGUGAUGCAAAUCUCGAAAGCCGGUCUCAGUUCGGAUUGGAGUCUGCAACUCGACUCUAUGAAGCUGGAAUCGCUAAGUAAUCGCGCAUAAGGCCAUGGCGCGGUGAAUACGUUCCCGGGCCUUGCCCUUAAAGGGGCGUCAAGCCAUGGAAGUCUGGGGUAUCCCUGAAGUCCGGUG